RNAcentral lists this ribosomal RNA (398 nucleotides) under uncultured bacterium. RNAcentral's name for it is "partial 16S ribosomal RNA". It matches the Rfam family "Bacterial small subunit ribosomal RNA", at positions 338 to 733 of the family's 1533-position model. The record is from RNAcentral.
CCUACGGGUGGCAGCAGUGAGGAAUAUUGGUCAAUGGACGAGAGUCUGAACCAGCCAAGUAGCGUGAAGGAUGACUGUCCUAUGGGUUGUAAACCUCUUUUAUCUGGGAACAAAACAUGGUAUGCAUACCCUCUUGUAUGUACCAUAUGAAUAAGCAUCGGCUAACUCCGUGCCAGCAGCCGCGGUAAUACGGAGGAUCCGAGCGUUAUCCGGAUUUAUUGGGUUUAAAGGGAGCGUAGGUGGAUUGUUAAGUCAGUUGUGAAAGUUUGGGGCUCAACCGUAGAAUUGCAGUUGAAACUGGCAGUCUUGAGUAGGGUAGAGGUGGGCGGAAUGCGUGGUGUAGCGGUGAAAUGCUUAGAUAGCGCGAAGAACUCCGAUUGCGAAGGCAGCCUGCCGGG